AUGAACGCUGUCUACAGGCUUAACACAUGCCAGUCGAGGGGAAACGACGGGGAAGCUUGCUUCCCCGGGCGUCGACCGGCGCACGGGUGAGUAACGCGUAUCCAACCUGCCUCUGACUGAGGGAUAACCCGUCGAAAGUCGGCCUAAUACCUCAUGGCAUCGUCUGCGGGCAUCCAACGACGAUUAAAGAUUUCAUCGGUCAGGGAUGGGGAUGCGUCUGAUUAGCUUGUUGGCGGGGUAACGGCCCACCAAGGCUACGAUCAGUAGGGGUUCUGAGAGGAAGGUCCCCCACAUUGGAACUGAGACACGGUCCAAACUCCUACGGGAGGCAGCAGUGAGGAAUAUUGGUCAAUGGGCGGGAGCCUGAACCAGCCAAGUAGCGUGCAGGAUGACGGCCCUAUGGGUUGUAAACUGCUUUUAUGCGGGGAUAAAGUGAGGGACGUGUCCUUCAUUGCAGGUACCGCAUGAAUAAGGACCGGCUAAUUCCGUG
Molecule: ribosomal RNA, 490 nt
Filed under: uncultured bacterium
Lineage: Bacteria
Description: partial 16S ribosomal RNA
Rfam family: Bacterial small subunit ribosomal RNA
Source: RNAcentral